GGCCAUUUUCACAACUGUAGUAUGUCUAUCACCCUCCCUAUUUAAGAAACCAUUUUCUCUGAAAGAGAUCUUAGCCAUAACUGCUCAAACUGGGGAUCCAUGCUCACAGUUAUGAAUUAAAACCCCAUCACCCUAUUUCAUCAUUGAAGAGAGGCUGUUUCCAGUGGACUUAUGACGAUGCGCUGUCAUACCUGGGAGCAGGAGGAGAAAGGCACACGCGGAGACAAUGACAAAGG
RNAcentral lists this long non-coding RNA (236 nucleotides) under Fukomys damarensis (Damara mole-rat). Its description in RNAcentral is "lncRNA (ENSFDAG00000029734.1)". The record is from RNAcentral. Lineage: Eukaryota; Metazoa; Chordata; Mammalia; Rodentia; Bathyergidae.